RNAcentral lists this ribosomal RNA (723 nucleotides) under uncultured bacterium. RNAcentral describes it as "bacterial SSU rRNA". It matches the Rfam family "Bacterial small subunit ribosomal RNA", at positions 8 to 728 of the family's 1533-position model. The record is from RNAcentral.
AGAGUUUGAUCCUGGCUCAGAUUGAACGCUGGCGGCGUGCCUAACACAUGCAAGUCGAUCGGUAACGCGGGGCAACCUGGCGACGAGAGGCGGACGGGUGAGUAAUGCUUGGGAAUCUGCCUAUUAGUGGGGGAUAACCAGCCGAAAGGUUGGCUAAUACCGCAUACGCACUACGGUGGAAAGCUGGGGACCGCAAGGCCUGGCGCUAUUAGAUGAGCCCAAGUCGGAUUAGCUAGUUGGUGAGGUAAUGGCUCACCAAGGCGACGAUCCGUAGCUGGUUUGAGAGAACGACCAGCCACACCGGAACUGAGACACGGUCCGGACUCCUACGGGAGGCAGCAGUGGGGAAUAUUGGACAAUGGGCGAAAGCCUGAUCCAGCGACGCCGCGUGGGUGAAGAAGGCCUGCGGGUUGUAAAGCCCUUUCGGUUGGGAAGAAAAGUGUCGACCUAACACGUCGGCACCUUGACGUAACCAACAAAAGAAGCACCGGCUAACUCUGUGCCAGCAGCCGCGGUAAUACAGAGGGUGCGAGCGUUAAUCGGAAUUACUGGGCGUAAAGCGCGCGUAGGCGGUUGGACAAGUCGAGUGUGAAAUCCCCGGGCUCAACCUGGGAGCUGCAUUCGAAACUGUUCGGCUAGAGUAUGGGAGAGGGAAGUGGAAUUUCAGGUGUAGCGGUGAAAUGCGUAGAUAUCUGAAGGAACAUCAGUGGCGAAAGCGACUUC